UACGUAGGGUGCAAGCGUUGUCCGGAAUUAUUGGGCGUAAAGAGCUCGUAGGCGGUCUGUCGCGUCGGCUGUGAAAACCCGGAGCUCAACUCCGGGCCUGCAGUCGAUACGGGCAGACUGGAGUUCGGCAGGGGAGACUGGAAUUCCUGGUGUAGCGGUGAAAUGCGCAGAUAUCAGGAGGAACACCGGUGGCGAAGGCGGGUCUCUGGGCCGGAUACUGACGCUGAGGAGCGAAAGCGUGGGGAGCAAACAGG
RNAcentral lists this ribosomal RNA (254 nucleotides) under uncultured bacterium. RNAcentral describes it as "partial 16S ribosomal RNA". It matches the Rfam family "Bacterial small subunit ribosomal RNA", at positions 524 to 776 of the family's 1533-position model. The record is from RNAcentral.